GCCUAGCCCUAAACCUUGGUAAUAUAUCACAUACCCUACCCGCCUGGGAACUACGAGCACCAGCUUAAAACCCAAAGGACUUGGCGGUGCUUUAGACCCCCCUAGAGGAGCCUGUUCUAGAACCGAUAACCCCCGUUCAACCUCACCCCUCCUUGUUUAUCCCGCCUAUAUACCGCCGUCGUCAGCUUACCCUGUGAAGGCCUAAAAGUAAGCACAACUGGCACAACCCAAAACGUCAGGUCGAGGUGUAGCGCAUGGAGGGGGAAGAAAUGGGCUACAUUCCCUAUAAUAGGGAACACGAACGGCGCACUGAAACACGCGCCUGAAGGAGGAUUUAGUAGUAAGCGGAAAAUAGCGUGUUCCACUGAAAUCGGCCCUGAAGCGCGC
This 387-nucleotide ribosomal RNA is filed under the name Sebastes pinniger (canary rockfish). Its description in RNAcentral is "partial 12S ribosomal RNA". It matches the Rfam family "Bacterial small subunit ribosomal RNA", at positions 794 to 1384 of the family's 1533-position model. The record is from RNAcentral. Lineage: Eukaryota; Metazoa; Chordata; Actinopteri; Perciformes; Sebastidae.